GACGAACGCUGGCGGCGUGCUUAACACAUGCAAGUCGAGCGGUAAGGCCCUUUCGGGGGUACACGAGCGGCGAACGGGUGAGUAACACGUGGGUGACCUGCCCUCAGCUCUGGGAUAAGCCUGGGAAACUGGGUCUAAUACCGGAUAUGACUCCAUGACGCAUGUUGUGGGGUGGAAAGCCUUGUGCGGCUGAGGAUGGGCCCGCGGCCUAUCAGCUUGUUGGUGGGGUGAUGGCCUACCAAGGCGACGACGGGUAGCCGGCCUGAGAGGGCGACCGGCCACACUGGGACUGAGACACGGCCCAGACUCCUACGGGAGGCAGCAGUGGGGAAUCUUGCGCAAUGGGCGAAAGCCUGACGCAGCGACGCCGCGUGAGGGAUGACGGCC
This 387-nucleotide ribosomal RNA is filed under the name uncultured bacterium. RNAcentral's name for it is "bacterial SSU rRNA". It matches the Rfam family "Bacterial small subunit ribosomal RNA", at positions 28 to 416 of the family's 1533-position model. The record is from RNAcentral.